GAUUAAGUUAUUAAGGGCGCACGGUGGAUGCCUUGGCACUAGAAGCCGAUGAAGGACGUUACUAACGACGAUAUGCUUUGGGGAGCUGUAAGUAAGCUUUGAUCCAGAGAUUUCCGAAUGGGGAAACCCAGCAUGAGUUAUGUCAUGUUAUCGAUAUGUGAAUACAUAGCAUAUCAGAAGGCACACCCGGAGAACUGAAACAUCUUAGUACCCGGAGGAAGAGAAAGAAAAUUCGAUUCCCUUAGUAGCGGCGAGCGAAACGGGAAGAGCCCAAACCAAAAAGCUUGCUUGUUGGGGUUGUAGGACACUCUAUACGGAGUUACAAAGGACGACAUUAGACGAAUCAUCUGGAAAGAUGAAUCAAAGAAGGUAAUAAUCCUGUAGUCGAAAAUGUUGUCUCUCUUGAGUGGAUCCUGAGUACGACGGAGCACGUGAAAUUCCGUCGGAAUCUGGGAGGACCAUCUCCUAAGGCUAAAUACUCUCUAGUGACCGAUAGUGAACCAGUACCGUGAGGGAAAGGUGAAAAGCACCCCGGAAGGGGAGUGAAAUAGAACCUGAAACCGUGUGCUUACAAGUAGUCAGAGCCCGUUAAUGGGUGAUGGCGUGCCUUUUGUAGAAUGAACCGGCGAGUUACGAUUUGAUGCAAGGUUAAGCAGUAAAUGUGGAGCCGUAGCGAAAGCGAGUCUGAAUAGGGCGUUUAGUAUUUGGUCGUAGACCCGAAACCAGGUGAUCUACCCUUGGUCAGGUUGAAGUUCAGGUAACACUGAAUGGAGGACCGAACCGACUUACGUUGAAAAGUGAGCGGAUGAACUGAGGGUAGCGGAGAAAUUCCAAUCGAACCUGGAGAUAGCUGGUUCUCUCCGAAAUAGCUUUAGGGCUAGCCUCAAGUGAUGAUUAUUGGAGGUAGAGCACUGUUUGGACGAGGGGCCCCUCUCGGGUUACCGAAUUCAGACAAACUCCGAAUGCCAAUUAAUUUAACUUGGGAGUCAGAACAUGGGUGAUAAGGUCCGUGUUCGAAAGGGAAACAGCCCAGACCACCAGCUAAGGUCCCAAAAUAUAUGUUAAGUGGAAAAGGAUGUGGCGUUGCCCAGACAACUAGGAUGUUGGCUUAGAAGCAGCCAUCAUUUAAAGAGUGCGUAAUAGCUCACUAGUCGAGUGACACUGCGCCGAAAAUGUACCGGGGCUAAACAUAUUACCGAAGCUGUGGAUUGUCCUUUGGACAAUGGUAGGAGAGCGUUCUAAGGGCGUUGAAGCAUGAUCGUAAGGACAUGUGGAGCGCUUAGAAGUGAGAAUGCCGGUGUGAGUAGCGAAAGACGGGUGAGAAUCCCGUCCACCGAUUGACUAAGGUUUCCAGAGGAAGGCUCGUCCGCUCUGGGUUAGUCGGGUCCUAAGCUGAGGCCGACAGGCGUAGGCGAUGGAUAACAGGUUGAUAUUCCUGUACCACCUAUAAUCGUUUUAAUCGAUGGGGGGACGCAGUAGGAUAGGCGAAGCGUGCGAUUGGAUUGCACGUCUAAGCAGUAAGGCUGAGUAUUAGGCAAAUCCGGUACUCGUUAAGGCUGAGC
RNAcentral lists this ribosomal RNA (1562 nucleotides) under Staphylococcus aureus. Its description in RNAcentral is "partial 23S ribosomal RNA". It matches the Rfam family "Bacterial large subunit ribosomal RNA", at positions 1 to 1561 of the family's 2925-position model. Lineage: Bacteria; Bacillati; Bacillota; Bacilli; Caryophanales; Staphylococcaceae. The record is from RNAcentral.